GACGAACGCUGGCGGCGUGCUUAACACAUGCAAGUCGAACGGUGAAGGGGCCUGCUUUUGUGGGCCCUGGAUGAGUGGCGAACGGGUGAGUAACACGUGAGUAACCUGCCCCCUUCUUCUGGAUAACCGCAUGAAAGUGUGGCUAAUACGGGAUAUUCUGGGUCUGUCGCAUGAUGGGUCUGGGAAAGAUUGCGCCUUUGGGUGUUUUUGGUGGGGGAUGGGCUCGCGGCCUAUCAGCUUGUUGGUGGGGUGAUGGCCUACCAAGGCGGUGACGGGUAGCCGGCCUGAGAGGGUGGACGGUCACACUGGGACUGAGACACGGCCCAGACUCCUACGGGAGGCAGCAGUGGGGAAUAUUGAACAAUGGGCGCAAGCCUGAUGCAGCGACGCCGCGUGAGGGAUGGAGGCCUUCGGGUUGUAAACCUCUUUCGCCAGUGAAGCAGGCCUGCUCCUUGUGGGUGGGUUGACGGUAGCUGGAUAAGAAGCGCCGGCUAACUACGUG
RNAcentral lists this ribosomal RNA (502 nucleotides) under uncultured bacterium. RNAcentral describes it as "partial 16S ribosomal RNA". It matches the Rfam family "Bacterial small subunit ribosomal RNA", at positions 28 to 507 of the family's 1533-position model. The record is from RNAcentral.